Molecule: non-coding RNA, 859 nt
Organism: Nicotiana tabacum (common tobacco)
Lineage: Eukaryota; Viridiplantae; Streptophyta; Magnoliopsida; Solanales; Solanaceae
Source: RefSeq, a predicted model, not a curated record
UCUCCUUACAUUCGUUUUGUAACAGACGCUCUUAAUUACCAUACUUGUUUUCUCUUCAAUCCUCUAUGUUUUAUUACUCAUUAUUUUUUCCCAAUGGCCACAGAGGAAUUGUUUCUCUCAAUUCUCAAGGCAUGUUGUGUUGACGCCUAUGAAGUGUUCGACAAAAAGCUCUAUAGAGAGGUACAAUUUCCACGGCUGCUGGACAAACCACUCAACAGAUGCAGCUGCUGGUAUUAAUUAUAUCAUGAAAGGACUACUUCCAGAAAUGAUUCAGGUUAAAGAGAAAGCACAUAGCAAACCUGUGGUCUAUCAGCUACAAAAUAAUGAACGCAAGCACAGUCCUAUCGAACACACUGGUGAACUGAUGGACUCUGAUUACAAUGCUUUGGAGAAAAUAAAAUAUUGCCGGUGACAUAGAGAAAAAGCGUUGUAGAUGAGGAGCAAUAACAGAGAUGUCAACCCACUAUAAUUGCACACCACGAUGCGGCAAUAUCAAUCUAACUGGGACAACAAAUUUGUGAUGCAGUUAAAAUUGAGAGAAUGAAGCUUGUGAAAAGAACACUUAAUGACGUGAUGAUAUAAACUACAUGCACUUACUCUUGCAAAAAAUUUAGUUUCAAUAUUUGGCAAAUUUAAAUCAAUAACUUGCUUUUCCUAUAAAUUUGGAGAGGCCUUCUUAUCUUUUAUCAUACAGGAUUUGACCAUACUUGUCUUUCCCUUCUUCCUCUAUUUUUAGUACUCUUCUUUUUUUUAAAAAAAAAAUCACCAAAGAGAAGUUGUUUCUCUCAUUCUCAAGGUAAAUCUUAUCUUUGUGAUUUUGGAACAUAGUUAUUCUCUUUCAUAUUUAGUUUGUUUUCUC